RNAcentral lists this unclassified non-coding RNA (180 nucleotides) under uncultured Agaricomycetes. RNAcentral's name for it is "sequence contains ITS2". Lineage: Eukaryota; Fungi; Basidiomycota; Agaricomycetes. The record is from RNAcentral.
AAUCAUCAACCCCCUACAAUUUGUUUUGUUGGGAGGCUUGGAAUUGAGGGUUCUUGUCGGAGAUUUACUUCGACUCCCUCGAAAGUCAUUGGCUUCCGGUGAACCCUUCGUUGGCGUGAUAGGCAAUAUCUACGUCUGUGCGGGCGGGGACGUCGGCGCCUUGUGGAAACUGCUUUUUUC